Long non-coding RNA from Chelonia mydas (Green sea turtle), 1081 nucleotides. RefSeq lists it as uncharacterized. Lineage: Eukaryota; Metazoa; Chordata; Testudines; Cheloniidae. The record is from RefSeq and is a predicted model, not a curated record. The transcript is spliced from 3 exons.
GACUGAGGCUAUGUUGUGACUUACUUGGAGCACAAAAAGAAAUAUAGGCACCCAGGGGAGGACCCUGCUGGACUGUGUGUAUUGCUUAAUUCACAAAGAGGGCUUACCAGCCAGGACUUCUAGGAGAUGAAGGAAGAGCUUGUUCCUAAGUGGGGGCUUGUCUGGGAUCUACUUGUAGGCCAGAACCAGGAAGGGUUGGUAGGUGGCCUGUGAGAGGCCAAGCUGAACCUGGAAGAGCUGGAGAAGCUGAUGUGGUGGCUGGUAGACCAACAGAAGGAGAUGCCGAGGAUGUUGUAGGCAUUCCAGCAGACUGAGCGACAAGCUCUGCUGGGAUGGCAGGUGGAGCAACAGUGUGUGUUUCAGGAAUUCAUGAAGGAGCAGACCAAGAUGGAGCUUGUUAAACUACCAGAAUAUGGAAGAAAGGCAUAAGCCUUGCGGCAGACAGUGACAUCCUGUAGGACACCCUAGCUUUGGAAGAAAACACCUUCUGCAGUUGUUUGAAUUAUCCACUUCACAGGAUUUGGCUUUAUGGGAUUCCUAAACCAAGAGCUCAGCUGCCCCCAGCAUGUCCAACACCAAGGAUCUCAUUGCUAAUACUCCUACAGAUUUCCUGAAUUCAAACAUUCAUUCCUACCAGACUUGUAAUGUGCCUCAUCUACUUGGUACAGGUUUUUCUGUCCUUGAAGGCAUCAUACACCUAGACUGCGGGAACGUCUGCCUCCUCAGAUUUCCUGUAUACAGGAUACUCUUUGCUACCUUCCUACCACUGCAGCCUUCCUGGAGACGUGGUGCUCAGAGCUGUGCCUGUUCCAACAGGUUUUGUGCACCACUAAUGCUGGGUGGGGUGCUGCUGCUUUUGCUGGUCUACACCAUUCAGUUCUUCUGUUCCUGCAACCUCCUCCACAUCCAACAUCCUCUUAUCUGCUCCAGCAGAUAUCUGACAAGGGAUACUCAGUGCUGCCACUCCUGCAGAUUUUCAGUACCUCUUGCCGUUGGUGCUGCUGUUCCUGCAGUCAGUACUUCCCAUGUAUAUUUCCUCUACUUGGAGCCCUGAAUACUGCUACCCACACAGCUCCCUUGC